This 669-nucleotide ribosomal RNA is filed under the name Lycoris albiflora. RNAcentral's name for it is "eukaryotic LSU rRNA". The stretch from base 260 to 415 matches the Rfam family "5.8S ribosomal RNA". The record is from RNAcentral. Lineage: Eukaryota; Viridiplantae; Streptophyta; Magnoliopsida; Asparagales; Amaryllidaceae.
UCAAGGCCCGAACGGAUGAUCGCAAACCCGUAAAGCACCUGUAGGGAGCGGUAAAGAGGUCGGCAACCACCGUCGCCCGUAUCUGCCUCUUUGGGUGCCCCUGCUACCACUGCCGCCCUCUACAUCGUGCAUGGCAAGUGGCAUGAACAAAUUUUUAGCAUGGCGUAUGCCAAGAAGCAGCCUUAUUUAGAGAGCAGAGCGUGCGACAAGCUUAUAGCGCUGCAGUACACGACGUGAUCUUGGUACGUCUAACCUGCAUGACUCUCGACAAUGGAUAUCUUGGCUCUCGCAUCGAUGAAGAACGUAGCAAAAUGCGAUACUUGGUGUGAAUUAUAGAAUCCCAUGAACCAUCAAGUCUUUGAACGCAAGUUACGCCCGAGGCUAUCUGGCCAAGGGCACGCCUGCCUGGGCGUCACACCUACCGAUGCUCCAUACCCCUCCCCCUACCCAGUGCAGUUCGGCAGCAAGCACAGAUGCAGAGAUUAGCCCUCUACGCAUUACUACGUAGUAGGUUGAAGUACGGGCCACCGGUUGGGCCGGACGCAGCAAGUGGUGGAUUGACACGCACGUCGCUGCCGAAGUGACCCUGCUUGAGCAGUGCACCGGAGGAACCCAUGCCGAUGGGUGCCAUGUAAGCGCUCCUUGGAACCCAACCCUAGGUUAGGCAUG